GGUCAAGCUACUAAGGGCGCAUGGUGGAUGCCUUGGCAGAAGCAGGCGAUGAAGGUCGUGGCAAGCUGCGAUAAGCCUCGGGGAGCCGCAAGCAGGCAUUGAUCCGGGGAUGACCGAAUGGGGAAACCCUAUACCGUAAAACGGUAUAACGGCCCGAUGAAUACAUAGUCGGGUUCGAGCGAACUCAGGGAAGUGAACCAUCUCCGUACCUGAAGGAAAAGAAAACAACAGUGAUUCCGAGAGUAGUGGCGAGCGAAAUCGGAACAGCCCAAACCAGUCCCACCUUCGGGUGUGACCGGGGUUGUAGGGUCCGCAACAGUAGAGUUACCAAUCCAGUCGUUAGUCGAAGUUCCCUGGAAAGGGAAGCCAUAG
This 372-nucleotide ribosomal RNA is filed under the name Anaerolineaceae bacterium. Its description in RNAcentral is "partial 23S ribosomal RNA". It matches the Rfam family "Bacterial large subunit ribosomal RNA", at positions 1 to 360 of the family's 2925-position model. Lineage: Bacteria; Bacillati; Chloroflexota; Anaerolineae; Anaerolineales; Anaerolineaceae. The record is from RNAcentral.